RNAcentral lists this ribosomal RNA (442 nucleotides) under Elphidium sp. S4. Its description in RNAcentral is "SSU rRNA". It matches the Rfam family "Eukaryotic small subunit ribosomal RNA", at positions 1197 to 1470 of the family's 1831-position model. Lineage: Eukaryota; Foraminifera; Rotaliida; Elphidiidae. The record is from RNAcentral.
GACUCACGCGGGAAUCUUACCGGGUCCGGACACACUGAGGAUUGACAGGUUUCGAGAGUUUUUUUGGAGUUCGCUCCAGAAUGCUCUCUUAAAUAUGCUAGUCCUUUCAUGAUUAUGUGAUAGGUGGUGCAUGGCCGUUCUUAGUUCGUGGAGUGAUCUGUCUGCUUAAUUGCGUUUCACUAAAGGCGUCAUUAUAUUUUUGUGCUUGUGUUUGACCCCUCUUUCUUCGGAUUGAGCGCGUGUCUUUCACACACAAUUACUUUGACGUCUGAAAGCAACGAACGUGACCGUAACCUCUUGUUGCCUUCUCUUCUCUUCGGAGAAUGCUAGUUUUUUUCUUCGGAUAAAUUCUAGUAUAUGGAGGCUUUUACUCAAACUAGAGGGACCGCUGUUACUUUCUUUAAACCUGAGGAAGGUUGCGGCAAUAACAGGUCUGUGAUGC